UACGGAGGAGGCAAGCGUUAUCCGGAAUUACUGGGCGUAAAGCGUCCGCAGGCGGCACCUCAAGUCUGCUGUCAAAGACCGGGGCUUAACCCCAGAAAGGCAGUGGAAACUGAAGUGCUAGAGUGCAGUAGGGGUAGAGGGAAUUCCCGGUGUAGCGGUGAAAUGCGUAGAGAUCAGGAAGAACACCGGUGGCGAAAGCGCUCUGCUAGGCCGCAACUGACGCUGAGGGACGAAAGCUAGGGGAGCGAAUGGG
RNAcentral lists this ribosomal RNA (253 nucleotides) under uncultured bacterium. RNAcentral's name for it is "partial 16S ribosomal RNA". It matches the Rfam family "Bacterial small subunit ribosomal RNA", at positions 524 to 776 of the family's 1533-position model. The record is from RNAcentral.